RNAcentral lists this long non-coding RNA (4047 nucleotides) under Homo sapiens (human). Its description in RNAcentral is "HSALNT0288390". The record is from RNAcentral. Lineage: Eukaryota; Metazoa; Chordata; Mammalia; Primates; Hominidae.
UGUGACUUUAUAUAUAAUGUGAUCUUACAUAUUAUCUCUAUAUAUGUUAGAAAUUUGUGUGUCUAAAAUGAUUUCCAAGAACCACCAUAGGCUUAUUUCAUUAUCACUGCAACAGUCUCAAGUUCAGAAAGAGUUAAAAAUAGAGAUUCAAAUGAAAACAUGUUCACUUUUUCCCAUGAUGCUUCAACCUUUUAAUGACCUUAAGCUGCUUCUCACUGUAUGACUCAGCGGCAUAGCAAAUGAAUCAGAGAGAGAGAGAAAGAGUGAACGAGAGCCAGAGAAAGAGUGAGAGAUACAGAGGGGAGAUGAAGAGAGAGAGAGAGAGAGCUCUCCAGGUAUCUCCAAGCACAGAAGGACAUGUUUGCUUCCCUUUCUGCCUUGAUUGAAAGUUUCUGGAAGCCUUCCCAGCCUUGCAGAACUAUGAAAACUCUUCUACAUAAGAUAUAAUUAUUGGAACAGAUCAAUGAAGAAAUUACAAAAGACAAAAUAAUACACUUGAUCACCUAAGAUGGGGUCUCGCUCUGUCACCCAGACUGCGGGGAAGCAGCAUGAUCUCUGCUCACUGCAAGGUCCACCUCCCGGGUUCAGGCCAUUCUUCUGACUCAGCCUCCUGAGCAACUGGGAUUACAGGAGUGCACCACCACCCCCGGCUAUAUAUUUUUUUUCUCUGUUUGUUUUUUUAGUAGAGUCGAGGUUUCACCGUGUUAGCCAGGGUGGUCUCGAUUUCCUGACCUUGUGAUCUGCCCGUCUCGGCCUCCCAAACUGCUGGGAUUACCGGCGUGAGCCACUGUGCCCUGCUAACAAUUUUCUCACUCUAUAUUUUCUAAUACUAUGAAAUCAAUGAAUUAAGUUUGUGGUCUAAGUACCAGUAGACAUUAAAAUAAUUGUUUGUCUGGAAUGAAGAAAAUUAUACGUAUUCUAAUUUGUCCUAGUCUUGUGCCAAAUGAAAUCUUUCAUUAACUGGAACAAAUUAAAUAAUUAAGUCUCAAUAUUUAUAAAGCCAUUUUAUUAAAAUGAUUUUUAAAACUAAUGUUCUACCAUUCUCAGUUGCCAUGUCUGUAGAAAUUAUUACCGAUUGUAAAUUUUACCAGUGGUCUCCAGAGAGGGAUGAAGAUGUGGGGGAUAUUUUGCAAGAAAGUUCCUGGCUGCCUCCCCUGAGGGUUCUGAUGUAUUGGCUAUGUUACUGGAAUUGCUAUGUAGUAAUUAUUCAAAUUGCAUGCACAGCUAAGAAACCCAAUAAAGCUUCUAAAGGAGUUCCCUCAUGUAUGCAAAACUAUUUUAACAGCGACACAUAUUUAUUAUUUUAACACAGAGAAGCAAAACUCAUCUUUGAAAGAGAACUGCCUUUCAAAGAAUUAUUUGUUAAAUCAUGAAUGGCGGCGGGUGAAAUCCAAAGAAAAGAAGAGAUCGUGAAUUUCCUAUAGCUCAUUGUGGAUUUGCUGAGUUGAGAUUUGAAGCAUUCAGAAGAAAAGUUUAUGUUAGGAUAGCCAAAAGGUCAUCAGCAAAAGGGCUAGAUGUUGAUUUUAGAAGGUUUAUUUUCCUAUUUUUCCCAUAUGAGAAUAUGCCUCCAAAUUUCUCCUUAAAUCCUCAGUUAAAUCUAAUGAACACACACACACACACACACACACACACACACACACACACUCUCUCUCUCUUCUACAUGUAGUUGAAUUUUUUUUUUUUUUUUUUUUUUUUUUUUUUUUUUUUUUUUGGAGACAGGAUCAAUUUCCUGGGCUGGAGUGCAAUGGUGCAAUCAUAGCUCACAGCAGCCUUGACAUCCUGGGAUUAGGGAUCCUCCCACCUCAAGCCUCCUGAGUAGCUGGGACUACAGGCAUGUGCUACCAGACUGAGCUAAUUUUUUUUUCUUUUUGUAGAGACAGGCUUUAGUCAGGUUGCCCAGGAUGGGCUCGAACUCUUUGGCUCAAGCGAUCCUCUCACCUUGGCUCCCAAAGUGCUGGGAUUACAAGUGUGAGCCACCAUGCCUGGCCUUGAGUGGAUUUCUGAAUUGAGAAGUGGCCCAGUCUCUCAUGUUGGUAUUCCAAGUGAAAAACACAUCAUCCACAAAGGACAUUAGAUAAAACUGGCAACAAAAAUAACCACCUUAAUUAACCUGAGUCCUCACCUAUCCUCUGUGAGUAAUAGGAAAACAUGUCUGGGCAGGAGUUUGGACUUCCAGCGUGACUGAAGUUCAGAUUUGAGUCCAGGAUAUUUCUUAUCUACAUCCAUUAUGACAAUGUCCAUUCCAUAGGCAGAGAUUCCAUAGGUAGGGAUCUGGGAAGUUUUGCUUAUGGCUGCCUCCAGGGGCCUAAAAUGGUCCCUGGUGCACUUCUGGAGCAAGUAAGUACUGGUUGAAUAAAUGCAUUUUCAGAGACAGGGAAACCUACAUUAUCUCUACAUGAUACAAUUUUGUGGCUGGAAAUAUCACAAGUCCAACCACAUGUAUUUCACCUUGAAGUCUGUACAAACAGAGAUUGAGGAUGAAUGUUUUAACAUCUUGCUCUCAAAUGGUUGCAUCUUUUUUUCCCAAAAAAUAUAUUGGAGAGUUUCUUCAAGUCUGUGGUGUCCACCAUGACUGAAGGCCUGCAAACUCCGCAUCUACCAAACAGGACCGAGACACUCAAAUCCCCAAGUUCAGAAUAGGUAGAGGUUUUGUGUUCAGAUUUGUAAGUGGGUAGGGUAAGGGUUUGGGUUCCUGUUCAGGUUUGGGUAACAAUUCUGGUCAAGAAUGAUGUUGAGUGUGUGUUUGGAUUUUAGUCCAGGCUGGGAUCUCACAGUCAGGAGUCAAGGAGCAAAACACAGAGGGUUAAAGAUCAAAGAUCAAGGGUUAGGACGGGUUUCAGGUAUUGAUAAAGGUUCAUGUUAGGAUUUGGCUUCAAGUUCAAUUUGGGGUAUGGUUAGAUCACUAAUUGAAUGUCAGGGUAGGAGCACAAGUCAAUAUUAUGAUCAAGGGAUUAUAUUCGUUAUUAGGGACAAUGGUCAAAGGUCAGGAUUAGGAUCAAAAGUCUGUGGGUUAGAGAAUUUGGUAGAUGCCUUCAGUGUUCAAAUCAGGGGUCAAGAGUCAAGGGUUACUGGCAAAAGUCAAGGGUGAGUUCAAAAUUUUACAUUGAAGUUAAAGUAGGUGUUGGGUUGGGUUUGGUUUUGAGUCUAAAUUUAGAUUCAUUUUCAAGGUUGGGUAGAAUUAGGUUUCAUAUCCAGUCAUUAGUUAGGGUCCAGAUUAAAAUUUGGGUUCAAGUUCUCAUUCUCUGUUCAGGGUCAUGGGUCAGCUCAAUGAUCAAGAAGCAAUGGUCAAAGGCCACAGGUUAGUUUUAAGGUUUCAAUUUCUGUUAGGGUCAGUAUUAGGUUUAGAGGUAAAACACUGCUGAGACCCUUGUCACUUUCAUCUUUAUGACUGAAAAUCGUAACCAGAAAAACACAUGAAGAAGUGAACAUUUAACAAUCUAGGCAUAUUUUUAGGAAACAUAACUGUUGAAAGAUAUCUUCAACAUGGCUUGGGAAUAUUUUUAGCACAAAAGAUAUUAGAGAAUGGGAGCUUUAUAAUAUAGUAAUUUAGUCAAUGUACUUAACGGAAUUUGGAUGUUAUGACCUCUUUGUAGUUAAGAGUGUACAUUAAUAUUAACUCUGGACAAUCCCCUUCUGAUCUACAGAGAUUAUGCAUGUUUUUAUUUGUGUGUGUGUGUUUGUGUACUUCUCACACCAUUGACGUUGAAGCUUGGUUUUGCAUUAUCCAACCCACCCAUGUAAAGACACUAUUGGAUAUGGAUGGAUGCAUGCUACAGAUUUAGCCACCUCUGUGAAUGGGAAACUUAUAGAUGGAAGAUGGUUCCCAGAAGAUGUUCCACCUAUAUAGAGAAGGGAACAGAAAGAGGAGUACCUCAGCCACAGUAUUCUGGGGGUUUGCAGGAUGGAAAUAGUCAGAUAGGAAAUUUGUAAAUCACUGCAUGUGAAGGGAGGAAGAAUGCAAAAAUAUUUUAUAUAAUAAACACUUAAAUACUUACAUUUGGGAGUGCAAAAAUAGAGAUAUGGUGAAAAAUCAAAUCAGAUGGAACA